This 465-nucleotide ribosomal RNA is filed under the name uncultured bacterium. RNAcentral describes it as "partial 16S ribosomal RNA". It matches the Rfam family "Bacterial small subunit ribosomal RNA", at positions 338 to 795 of the family's 1533-position model. The record is from RNAcentral.
CCUACGGGCGGCUGCAGUGGGGAAUAUUGCGCAAUGGGCGAAAGCCUGAUGCAGCGACGCCGCGUGAGGGAUGAAGGUCUUCGGAUCGUAAACCUCUGUCAGCAGGGAAGAACGGUAACUGUGCUAAUCAGCAGUGAAUUGACGGGACCUGCAAAGGAAGCACCGGCUAACUCCGUGCCAGCAGCCGCGGUAAUACGGAGGGUGCGAGCGUUAAUCGGAAUUACUGGGCGCAAAGCGCUCGUAGGCGGUAUGGCAAGUCAAGGGUGAAAUCCCCGCGCUCAACGUGGGAACUGCCUUUGAAACUGGCAAACUGGAGUGUGUGAGAGGAUAGUGGAAGUCCAGGUGUAGGAGUGAAAUCCGUAGAUAUCUGGAGGAACAUCAGUGGCGAAGGCGACUAUCUGGCACAUAACUGACGCUGAGGAGCGAAAGCGUGGGUAGCAAACAGGAUUAGAUACCCUUGUAGUC